GCGGGAAUAGCUCAGUUGGUAGAGCACGACCUUGCCAAGGGUCGCGAGUUCGAGUCUCGUUUCCCGCUCCA
This 71-nucleotide transfer RNA is filed under the name Enterobacter sp. EA-1. RNAcentral's name for it is "tRNA-Gly". It matches the Rfam family "tRNA". Rfam says of the family: Transfer RNA (tRNA) molecules are approximately 80 nucleotides in length. Their secondary structure includes four short double-helical elements and three loops (D, anti-codon, and T loops). The record is from RNAcentral. Lineage: Bacteria; Pseudomonadati; Pseudomonadota; Gammaproteobacteria; Enterobacterales; Enterobacteriaceae.